Molecule: ribosomal RNA, 371 nt
Filed under: uncultured bacterium
Lineage: Bacteria
Description: bacterial SSU rRNA
Rfam family: Bacterial small subunit ribosomal RNA
Source: RNAcentral
GUAGGGUGCGAGCGUUGUCCGGAAUUACUGGGCGUAAAGAGCUCGUAGGUGGUUUGUCGCGUUGUCCGUGAAAUCCCACGGCUUAACUGUGGGCGUGCGGGCGAUACGGGCAGACUAGAGUGCUGCAGGGGAGGCUGGAAUUCCUGGUGUAGCGGUGGAAUGCGCAGAUCUCAGGAGGAACACCGGUGGCGAAGGCGGGUCUCUGGGCAGCUACUGACGCUGAGGAGCGAAAGCGUGGGGAGCGAACAGGAUUAGAUACCCUGGUAGUCCACGCCGUAAACGGUGGGUACUAGGUGUGGGUUCUUUCCUAAGGAUCAGUGCCGUAGCUAACGCAUUAAGUACCCCGCCUGGGGAGUACGGCCGCAAGGCUA